This 253-nucleotide ribosomal RNA is filed under the name uncultured bacterium. RNAcentral's name for it is "partial 16S ribosomal RNA". It matches the Rfam family "Bacterial small subunit ribosomal RNA", at positions 524 to 776 of the family's 1533-position model. The record is from RNAcentral.
UACAGAGGUCUCAAGCGUUGUUCGGAUUCAUUGGGCGUAAAGGGUGCGUAGGUGGCGUGGUAAGUCAGAUGUGAAAGCCCGGGGCUCAACCUCGGAAUUGCAUCCGAUACUGCCGUGCUAGAGUACUGAAGAGGUGACUAGAAUUCUCGGUGUAGCAGUGAAAUGCGUAGAUAUCGAGAGGAAUACCAACGGCGAAGGCAGGUCACUGGGCAGUUACUGACACUGAGGCACGAAGGCCAGGGGAGCAAACGGG